Molecule: transfer RNA, 64 nt
Filed under: Tachypleus tridentatus (Chinese horseshoe crab)
Lineage: Eukaryota; Metazoa; Arthropoda; Merostomata; Xiphosura; Limulidae
Description: tRNA-Glu
Source: RNAcentral
AUUUAUAUGGGGUAACAUACCAAGUAAUAUUUUCAUUAUUAAAAUGGGAAAUUCCCUAGAAAUA